GAUUUAACUGGUUUUGUAAGCCCUUAUAUAGUGUAAAUUUGUAAAUUUUUUUGGGACCAUCUUUGUUAGUUGCAUUAUUUCCUAGCCAAUAUGACAUCAAUUGAUUUUUUUCUUCCCUGUCCGCUUUCCGGGAAUUGCCUUCCUAACUUGUGCAAAGAUGUCCCCAAAGGCAUUCUUUUCUGUUAGUUUUAAAUUCGUGAAUUGUGUUGACUUGAAUUAGAAGAGAUAUAGACUUGGAAGGGGAAAAAAAACAAGAAGGGAUCAAUAUAGGAGGAGAAUGUCUUUCUCCAGCAUACGAGUUAGUCGCUUCGUAUUGCCAGUAUACUCUGUUCAUUUCUGAAGAAAUUGUCGAGGAUCAACUUUGCUGUUCACCCGGACCAACCUACUGAAGAUGGCUUGUUUUGGCGUCCUCGUUGCUUCCCAAGUACGCUUGAAAGCACAUGGCCUGGUAUGCCUUAAUUGCAUUGCAUCCUGAUCUACUGUUCAUGCAUGUUCUUUGCCUAAACUCCAUUCACUUCCCAUUUUUCUAUGCCUUGUAUGUUGUGCAAGUUGCAUUGUCUUUCAUGUGGGGUCUCGUUCAUUCUUCCGCCGUAAAGAUCCAUUAUUAUGAACAUUAGCUCACAUGGUUAGAUUUGCUUUGAAAUUGGCUGUAUAGUUGAAUCUUGUUAAGCAAGAUCUACAGGGCGCUUCCUUUGCCCAGUUUUCAGUCCCAACUCAAGGGAGACUUUUAUUCAUAAUUGUAUUAGUCUGUUGAUUCCUCCAAAACACAGUGAAUUAAAAGUGACCUUGGGUUUAGGUUUGUAUAUCCAUCACCAUGAAACAUCAACAUUUUGAAUGAUGAUUCUGAUAAAGAUAUUUUGAUGUAGAUUACAGCAAUGCAUCGCUACCCCUGGACAAGCUUGGUGGCUCCUUGUUCACUUUAGUGGCACUUGAGCCAGCUUGAUUUCCCUGUUCCCCUAAUAUCCAUCGAGGUACCAAAUGCUCCACUGAAAUUAAUCACCCAAAAAAAAAGAGCAUUCAAGAUAACUUCUCUAUUGCCCUGCAGCCACUACCUAGCAUAUUUUAUCAAGGGGGUAGGAGCUAGAUCUGGAGCGAGUGAAUUUCAUUUUUAGUGUUAAUCUAUGAAGGUCUUUUCUUUUCAACUAUUAUAUAGAAAGGCAGAAGCUGUUAAAAAUGAAGUUGGUUGUGUUAAACAACCUUUUUAUGACCAUUAAAUCUUCCCCAUUUUUAAAAGAGUGCAGAGUGAACACAAGAUAUUUCUGUUCAUGGGUGCUAAUCUUUGUUUUAUCGCUUUAUAUUUAAAAAAUGAAUUGAAUUAAUUUUUUUUUUUUAACUUUUUGAUUUAAUUUUUUUUAAAGAGGUGACUUCAAAAACAAAUAAUAAUAAUAAUACAGAGGUUGUGAUGAUGGAGAAGUUUAAGGGUUGGUUUUGAAUUUUUCUAUAAAUGUUUGGAGAAAGUUUAUGGAAAUUAGGAUCUCAUAUUCUGAGUAAUUUGCCCCGCACUAGAGAAGUUAACAGAAUAUAACAUCUGUUAACUCUAGUUCUGUUAGGUUUUUAUUUUAAUAUAUAUAUAUUUAAUUUAAAAUGACUCAUUGGAAUGGGUUUGGUUGACUAUUAAAUAUUAAAAGCCUUUCCCAUUUCAAAAUUUCUCAUACUCAUCAAUUUAAUAGCUAAAAUGACAGUUGAUGUACAGCUGAAUAUAUGCUGUGUAUAUAAUAAUAGCUCUGGAAAAAAGAAUUUAAACUAAAGUCUUACGUUUAAAUAUAUAUAUAUAUAUAUAUAUAUAUAUAUAUAUAUUACAUUAAAAAUUAAUGAGCAUUGGAAUCACUUUUGAUCAACUUAUUUUGUGCUUUCUUAAUUCUUAAACUUAAAAAAUAUAUAUAUAUAUAUAUAUAUAUUUUUUUUUUUUUAAAAUUUUUAUGCCACUAAAAUGGCCGAAGAUAGUGAGAUCCGGUCCUUUAUUAGAGGAAUUUUCAGUUGACGGAUGAAGAGCUGUCAUGUGAUAGCCUUUUAAAAAAGCAAACAAUUAAACAAAAUUGAUAUGGGCUCCUCCAAAGUGGUACUUCGGAUUCACAAUUAGUCCCUUUUUGAAAGACACUCACUCUGUUUGCUGCAGAGCCUGUGACUUUCCAAAGUAGAACUUAAGAAAUGAAGAUGUUUUAAAGCCAUACUCUUGCCGUGUUCUUUCUUAUCGCGUUUCGUUUGCUACUUUUCUUCAUAAUUUGAUGGCUUCUGGGAAUCAAUCUACUUAUUCUUCUUUUAUUUCAACAUAAAAAAAAACUCUCAUAGAAAUUUAUUUCAAAUAAAUUUUCAACUUCAUCUUCUUCUUCUCACAGAAAUAGGAAGAGGUGGGAUGCUCUGUUCAUGUCUGAAAAAGUUUUCUGGAUCAACUUUGGUCUUCACUCUUACCAAUCUGUUGAAAUUGUGCUUAAAGUACUUGUUCCCCCAA
RNAcentral lists this long non-coding RNA (2449 nucleotides) under Manihot esculenta (cassava). RNAcentral's name for it is "long non-coding RNA (MESC_LNC003488)". Lineage: Eukaryota; Viridiplantae; Streptophyta; Magnoliopsida; Malpighiales; Euphorbiaceae. The record is from RNAcentral.